This 229-nucleotide ribosomal RNA is filed under the name Chloroflexota bacterium. RNAcentral's name for it is "partial 16S ribosomal RNA". It matches the Rfam family "Bacterial small subunit ribosomal RNA", at positions 1311 to 1533 of the family's 1533-position model. The record is from RNAcentral. Lineage: Bacteria; Bacillati; Chloroflexota.
CUCGCCUGCAUGAAGUUGGAGUUGCUAGUAACUGCAGGUCAGCAUACUGCGGUGAAUACGUUCCCGGGCCUUGUACACACCGCCCGUCAUGCCAUGGGAGUCUGUAAUACCUGAAGAUGGUGAGCCAACCCUUUUUUUAGGGGGGCAGCUAUCUAAGGUGGGACAGGCGACUGGGGCAAAGUCGUAACAAGGUAGCCGUACCGGAAGGUGCGGCUGGAUCACCUCCUUU